Molecule: ribosomal RNA, 171 nt
Filed under: Sargocentron sp. MBIO1709
Lineage: Eukaryota; Metazoa; Chordata; Actinopteri; Holocentriformes; Holocentridae
Description: partial small subunit ribosomal RNA
Source: RNAcentral
CACCGCGGUUAUACGAGAGGUCCAAGUUGAUAGAAACCGGCGUAAAGAGUGGUUAGGGCGCCUAUUUAAAACUAGAGCCAAACACCUUCAGAGCUGUUAUACGCACCCGAAGGCAUGAAGAACUACCACGAAAGUGGCUUUAUUUACCCUGAACCCACGAAAGCUAUGUUA